UGAGCUACAGCUCACUUCAUGGGAUGCAAUGUGGACACUGCUGCCUCCUGGGGCUGCCCUGAAAGACACUUUGAAUUGACAGAUCACAACAACUCUGUGACUUUUAGGAUUGAGAUUGCAGCUCAUUAGUGUGUAUGUGUUUGCUGGCUUUAACCUGCAAAUAACUCUCUUAUUUCUCUCUCCUAGUUAAUAAAGCUUUAGAUAGUUUAUUA
Molecule: long non-coding RNA, 212 nt
Organism: Chelonia mydas (Green sea turtle)
Lineage: Eukaryota; Metazoa; Chordata; Testudines; Cheloniidae
Exons: 2
Source: RefSeq, a predicted model, not a curated record